GCCCGCUCAGAAACUACAAAGGAAUUGACGGGACCCGCACAAGCGGUGGAGCAUGUGGUUUAAUUCGAAGAUACGCGAAGAACCUUACCUGGCCUUGACAUUGAUAGAAUCUGGUAGAGAUACUGGAGUGCUAGCUUGCUAGAACUUGAAAACAGGUGCUGCACGGCUGUCGUCAGCUCGUGUCGUGAGAUGUUGGGUUAAGUCCCGUAACGAGCGCAACCCUUGUCCUUAGUUACCAGCACGUUAUGGUGGGCACUCUAAGGAGACUGCCGGUGACAAACCGGAGGAAGGUGGGGAUGACGUCAAGUCAUCAUGGCCCUUACGGCCUGGGCUACACACGUGCUACAAUGGUCGGUACAAAGGGUUGCCAAGCCGCGAGGUGGAGCUAAUCCCAUAAAACCGAUCGUAGUCCGGAUCGCAGUCUGCAACUCGACUGCGUGAAGUCGGAAUCGCUAGUAAUCGUGAAUCAGAAUGUCACGGUGAAUACGUUCCCGGGCCUU
This 500-nucleotide ribosomal RNA is filed under the name uncultured Pseudomonas sp. RNAcentral's name for it is "bacterial SSU rRNA". It matches the Rfam family "Bacterial small subunit ribosomal RNA", at positions 903 to 1382 of the family's 1533-position model. Lineage: Bacteria; Pseudomonadati; Pseudomonadota; Gammaproteobacteria; Pseudomonadales; Pseudomonadaceae. The record is from RNAcentral.